This 12977-nucleotide long non-coding RNA is filed under the name Vitis vinifera (wine grape). RNAcentral describes it as "long non-coding RNA (VVIN_LNC005846)". Lineage: Eukaryota; Viridiplantae; Streptophyta; Magnoliopsida; Vitales; Vitaceae. The record is from RNAcentral.
GGUGAAGGCUGGCGAUGGUAGAGAUGAUCGAUGCGCUGUGGUGGUGGAGAUGGGUGACGGGUGGUGGUGGUGGUGGAGUCUAAUCUCAAGUGGCGGUGGCCUUAGUGGGUGGUGGUUUGAUGGGCGGUCGAAGUAGUGGUGGGGGUGGGUUAUGGCCUUAUGGGUGGUGGGUGGUGUUGGCUCAAGCGUCAAACAACUCCCAUGGAGUGGUGGAGCUGGCAGGGGCGGAGGAGGAUUUCAAAGAGGCAGAGAUCGGUGGGGUGGUGUUGGUGAUGGAGGGUUUUAGAGAAGCGGAGAGUGGUGGGUUAGUGUGCAUUUUGGGAAUUGGGUGGUGGGUUUGAAUGGAACUAAAAUGCCAGAAAAUUACUUUUUUAGUACAUGCAGACAAGCGCCUUUUCCUUCCGAUGACCACCUCGCACCCUUUUCGCUCGCUGGCUGGAAUACUGCUGCCUUGCCUUGGGGUCCAGCUACACUACCCAAGUGGACCGUGCCGUUACUAAGGUCCGUUUACCUGUCUCAUUCUUCUUUAUACUUUUAUCCCAUCUCAUUAUUCAUUAAUAUUCAUUUAUUUGUCUCUUGAUGUGAUUUGCUUAUACCUUGAUUCAUUUGUUUAUAGCCCACUCCAUAUGUUUAUAAUUUUAUUCUAUAACCCAAAUUUUAACGUGACUCAAAUUCAUAGCUUAUGUAAAUUUAACUAAAUUUUAGGAUAUUAGGUUACAACAACAUAAAUUUGAAUCAAACAUAAAUAUUUGAUGUGCAUAAAUGGAAGUGAAAAGUGGAUCCUUUGUGUGUUUCCUUCUUAAGAUGUUGAUAUUCAAGAGAGUAGUGCUAUGAGAGCAACCACCCAAUUCCACAUCCUAGAACCUGUAAAACUCUAAAGACUAAUAUAAAAGAAAGGGAGAGAAAGACACCUUCAUAUAAAUACUAUUAACCACUCCGAAUCUAUUGAUACAUUGAGAGAUGAAGGGUGAAUUCUAGUUAUAGAACCAAUGGGAUAAGUGAUUAUACUUUGAUAAGUCUAAUUACCUUAUUAUCACAUGAGAUAAUUAUUAGAAAUGUAAAUUUUUCAUAACUAUCUCAUCCCUUAUGAGACUCUCAUCAAGUCUAUGUUGACAUCUUAGAUCUAUGUAUAAAGGAAACAAUUCCAAUUUUAAAAAUUGAUUAUUCAGAGUUAAAAUGCUAACUUUUAGAUUUUGAUGUUCCCAAUUAAGUUCCAAGUAUUGAAGAUGACCUUGAAGACCUAGAGAUCUUUUGUCUAAUAUUUCUUCCUUGGAUCUUGACAAUUGAGAAGGGUGAACUUCUCUCUAAAAUGAUGGAGGGUAGGCUUCCUCUCUUUAGAAGAGUAAAUGACAAAAACAACAAGCCCUAAACCCUUAAAGGGGUUUAUAUAAGCUUAGUUGUGGGCUUAAGUGACUUGAACCCAUCUUUGAUUUAAGUCACUUAAUCUAACUCAUUGGGUUCUAAUUAAUUAAUUAACUUCAUUAAACUCAAAUGAAUUAAUUGGUCCAAUAUAAAAAAACCAUUCAUAAGCUCUUAUGCAAUCUUUCAUAUUUACCAAAAUACUUAUAUGAAUAAAGAACCCAACUAUCCCUCAAAUAAUGUGCCACCAAGAAAUAUAAGCUCAAAUGGAAACCAUUGGGACUCAUAAGAAAACAUUGGUUCCCUCAAAAAUUUAUUUUGAAGUUAAAUCAAUAUUCUACUAUACAGAGUCAAUUGCACUUCAAUAUCCUAUAAUAUUAGAUUGAGAUAGAAAACUUGAGUUUGUGACCUACUAAUGAUUGCAUGCAAGUUUCCUAUGAACUAGUAUUUGUAAUCUAACAAGGUGAAUGCCAUCAACCUCUCAAGAUUACUACUACAAUCUUUGAGUCUUAGAUUCUCCUAUGAUGUGAUCAAUUGACAUACUUUAUUUCUCUAAGAGCAUAUCUACGCCAAAUUCUACUAAAAGAAUCACUACGACCAUAGAUUUCAUAAUCACAUAUCCUUAUAAUCACUUAAGGGGAGACACUAUCUCAAACUCAUGAGAUAUCAUAGUACCUAUCUUGAGAAUACCUGUUGCUAUAUACCCUGAUUAAUAGUGACCCAAUCCUUAGGGAAUAUAUAAUCACUUUAGGAUCUCACUUAUAGGUCAAAGCCAUUGAAAACCUGAGCACUAACUCAAUAUUCACUCAAGUUUGAGAGCUCAUGAAACAUAGUAAGUUGGUAAAGUCAUGACUACUCAAUAAGCCAAUGUCAUGAUGCAAACUUCCCAUGAACUGGUGUCUAUAAUAUAAUAAGGUAAUGUUAUCACCUUUCAAGAUUACCUCUCCAAUCCUUAAUUUACAUAUGCCACUUAUUAUAUGAUCAAUUAACAUACCCUAGCUCUAAGGAGCAUAUGUCAAGUUUCCAUUAAAGCAAAGGCUAUAGCCAUAGUCUUCUAAAUCGCAUGUCCUUUGGAUCACCCAAGGAGACACAUUGUCUCAAUCACAUAAGAUAGGUGCCUUUAUUGAGAAUACCUAUCAUCACCAGCCUCCAUCAAUAGUGACCCAAUCUUUAAGGAUAUGUGACCACCUUAGGGUCUCACCCAUAAGUCAAAGUCUCUUGUUUUUUAAUUUGACAUAAGCUUAAUAUCUUCUCAAGGUUGAGAGUUUAUGCAAUAUAGUAGCCUAGUGAAUCAUGACAAUCGAUAGCCUUACGUCAUGAUUCACCGAAGGUCUUAUUCAGUAUACAUCACAUAUGCUAGUGCACUCACCACGAGAAAACCAUCCCGACGCCCAAGAUAAGCUAUCUCUCUAAUUAGAAAGUAGUGCACUACAGUCUUUACUACAUUGCAUAAAUCCAUGAAUGACUAUGGACAACUUAUCUUCUUACAAGGAACCUAUGACUUAUAUCCUAUGUAUAACUCAUAAUGCCCCUAAGUGAUGUAUAAUGUAAGCAAUAAGGGCAUGCAUACUUAGACAACCAAUUAAUGCAAAUAGGAUAAUAAAUGGGAAACUAAGAAAUAUAGAAAAAAAAUAAUUGAUAAUUGAAUCUUAAUCUGUUACAUCAUGUUAUGCCUUCAAAUGUUUAAUCCCAACAAAUUCCCAUUAGCCCUAAAACAUGCUUAGAACAUAUUUGACACCUAAGUUAUCCCUAUAACCAUUAAAGACACUAGAAGACAAAGUCUUCAUGAUGAGAUCUACCAAGUUCUCCACAAAAUCGAUAUUUUCCACAACCAUAGCUCAUCUAAAUACUAUCUCACGUAUCAAGUGAUACUUCCUCUCAAUGUGUUUACCCUUCUGAUGGUUUCUUUGUUUUUUAGACUAUGCCACUGCCUUAUGGUUGUCACAAAAAUGUACCAAGGGUGAUACAUCCAAGGGUACUACCUCAAGUUCCAUCAGGAACUUCCAAAGUCAAAUGACUUCCUUUGCUACUUCAGAAGCAACACCAUAUUCAACUUUUGUAGUUGAGUUAACAAUAUAGAAUUGCUUCACACUCCUCCAACUAAUAGCCUCACCACCUAGAGUAAAUGCAAAUUCAAAGAUAGAUUUGUAAGAGUCUCUAUCAGACUAAAAGUCUUAAUCCAUGUACCCAAGGGGUAACAACUCAUUACAAUGAUACAUCAACAUAUAAUAUCUCAUUCUCUGAAGACACUUGAGUGUAUGCUUGACAAUCAUUCAAUGUUCCAUGCUUAUAUUGGACUAAUAUUUACUCACAAUCCCUAUAGUAAAGCAAAUAUCCAAUCUAGUGCAUAACAUCAUAUACAUAAGGCUACCCACUAUUGCAGCAUAGAGUACUACCUUUAUACGAUCUUUUUCCUUAACUGUCUUAGGACACUAAUACUGAGAAGAGACACUCCAUGCUUGAAGGGUAGUAGACUCUUCUUAGAGUUCUGCAUCACAUAGUUGACUAAAAGCUUGUUAAUGUAGGUAGCUUAUGUCAACACAAUCUUCCUAUUCUUGUGAUCCUGAAGGACUUUAAUCCCAAAAAUGCAUUGCGUCUUACCCCAAUUUUUCAUUUGGAACUGAGUAGAUAGCCAGAUCAUGACUAAUGACAAUAACCCUACAUCAUUCCCAAUGAGUAGAAUGCCAUUAAUGUAUAAGACCAAAAACACAACCAUGCUUCUUUGCGUUUUCUUGUAUACACAAGGCUCAUCCUUGUUUUGGUCAAAACCAAGAGUCUUGAUAACUUGAUCAAAACCUCUAUUCUAUGAGCGAAAUGCUUGCUUUAAUCCAUAAAUGAAUUUAAGCAACUUGCACACAAGUUGCUCUCAAUGAUGAAAAUAUCGGUAAUCACGGAUAUAUCAAUACUUGAAUUUUACGAAUAUAUGGGAGAUAUGUUGACGAAUAUUUUGACAUAAAAUAUUGGUGGACAAAAAAUUAAUCAAAACUCAUGGAAAUGUAAGAAAAUACUCUUAAAAAUGAAAUUAGAAGUAUAACAGAUAUUUUAAAAUUGUUUUGUUGACGAAAUUGAUAUGUGUAUGAUAUGAUUUGUGAUAUUAAAUUUAAUUAUAUCAUAUCGGUUGAUAAGAAAUAUGAAUUUUGUAAGUGUACACUCAUUAUAAAGCUAAAUUAUUACAAAUGUACUAAUUAUGUGAUUCAAAUGUAUUACUAAUGCUAAGUUAAUUUCCUUACAUCUAUUGAAAAUAUAUUAAUUAAUUAUAAAAAUGUAAUAAUUUAAAUUCAAUUUAAAAAUGUACUAAGUUCAUUUAUUCUCAAUAGGCUAUUAUUACACUUGAAUAUCAAAAUAAAAUUAAAUCAUUAAUUUAAAACUAAAUUAUUGCAAAUGUACUAAUUAUGUGAUUCAAAUGUAUUUAUGAUUUUUAUUUAAAAAUAUUGGUACAUUUUGAAACAAAAUAUUUUUAUUUAAAAAUAUUGAUAAUUUUAUUUAUGAUUUUAUAUUUGUCCUAUAUUUAAUUAGUAUACAAAAUAGAUUAUAAGAUAAUUAAAAUUAAAUUAUUUAUAAUAAUUUUAUUUUAAUUAAUUUAUAAAAUAUAUUAUAAUAUAUAAAAAUAUACGUAUAAUAAUCAUAUAUAUAAACAAUUCUAAGCACAUAUAUACUAAAAAAUAAGUUUGGCUUAAUGACAUAACCCAUCUAUUUUAAACCUUAUCUUAUAUGUGAUUUUUUCAUUUUGUGUAAAUAAGAGCAUAAGAUGUUGCCUUAUACAACAGUUGGCCACAAUAGACAGGUAGGUUAGGCCUAAGUCUGCAUUUGGCCAAUACUAAAGUUAAAAAUUUACAUAUAUUAAGUCGUUAGAUCUCAUCCAUCUUUUGGCCCAUUAGAGAAUAUUAAAAAGUCAUCAUAUACAGACUAGUUGGGUUGAUCCAACAUUAACCCAUUGGAUAAAAUUAAAAAGUUUGGGCAUUAGACAUCACCAUUUUUUCAUUGAUAUAUCUCUGAUAUAUCAUAAAAAAUUUAUACAAUUUUUUUCCAUUCAAGGGUGAUUUUUUUUCUUAUAUCAUCGAUAUAUUAGAAAGCAUUGGUAUAUCAUUGAUAUAUAGUCGAUAUUUUUUUAUAUUUCCAUUAGUCGAUAUAUCUUACAUAUAUAUCAUAUUCAUAUUCUUCAAUACACAAUAUAUCAGUGAUACAUCGUCGAUAUAUCGCCAAUAUAUCUAUAUAUUUUUUGUCCUUGGUUGCUCUUGGCCUUUUGCUAUGAAUUCGUCUAGUUGCAUCAUAUAGAUGUAGACCCUCCUUUUUUUCCCCUCGGCACAUGUCCUAUUGAGUGCUUUUUUAGUGCUCCAUAAUAGUUCCCUGGUGGUACAUUGCUAAUGUCCUUUUUUAGUGGUUUUUUUGAGCCACCUUGGAGACUAUGGUUGAGAGAUUUAUCUGGCCCCUUAUUAUGACCCUUGGCAACUCUGAGUUAGAUCUAGAAUUUUCCUUUUUUCUUUUUAGGAUAGUUCAUUUAGGUAUACUUCUAGGCACAUUUGGCCCAUUUAGACAUAUGUUAGCCCAUGUAAACACAUUUGGCCCAUUUAGACACACCUCGACCCAUCUAGGGACAUAUGGCCUAUUUAGACACACUUGGCCCAUAUGAGAGUUCGGGUGGGUUUAUGUAACGAUGUUUUGUCACAAAAUUGCCAAAAUAAGAUAUUAUUGGGACAGUAAGUCUUAUAUAGUUGUUAGCAAUUUUGUUCCUUCUUAUAUUUGAUCAUAUAAGUCUUUUUAGAUAGUGGCUUGCUUUCCGUUGAAGAUCAAAGGUUGUUGUUCAUCCAAUUGGGAAGUCACAAUUACGUCUAAAGAGGUUUGGCUUGUGGAAAAUUGGGCUAUGUUGAGGUAUUAAAAGGACAAUUUUUGUUUUGAACUUAAAAUGAUUUAAAUUUGGUUUUUAAAAAAUAGCAGGACCACUUAAUCAUCCUAAAGCUCUCAAGAGCUUAGGAUCACUUAAGCAAGCCAUGUCGCUCAAGCACCCGAUGUGCUCAAGCAAUCCAUGAGUUGGCUCAAGUGAUCAUGCAAUUUCUACCAAGUUUUUCACAAUCUCAAUUGAGAAACCUUCCAAAACCAAAACUCUUUAGGUUUUUGCUUAUAAAUACCUCCCUAAUUACCCUUAGAGGGUCAGAGAUCUUAAUGUGAUUGGAGAUAGAUUGUUGAGAGACCUUUCCUUCUUUAUAGAAGGUCUCCUAGAGAGAAAACCAAAAGUGUCACACCAUUCUUGAUCUCUCAUUCAAGGAUUAUUCUUUGAAUCUUAGGUUGAAGACCAUCGCCCCUUUAGAGUGGCUGAAGGAUUUACUUGAGAGCAACAAGAGGUUGUUAUUAUUGGGAUUGAACCCUUAAAAGCAAGACAUGAUGUAACAAAGUUAGACUAAACUAUCCCCCUACUAUCAUUUUGGUGUAUUGACAUUGAUUUGAGCAUCCAGUCCAUGUCUUUUACAUUGUACAUGACUUGGGUGCAUUAGGAGUUACACAAAUGAUACAAGUCAUGAGUUCCUUAUAAUUGAUAAGUUGUCAACAGUUAGUUCAUGGAUUUGGGCAAUCCAGUAGAGAUUGUAGUGCACCACCUCCUAAUUGGAGGGAUGACUUGUCUUGGUCGUCGAGAUGGGUUUCCCAUGGUGGGUGCACUAGUGUAUGUGAUGCACACUGGACAAGAGCUAUGGUGAAUCAUGCCACAAGGCUAUCAAUUGUCAUGAUUCACCAAGCUACUAUAUUGCAUGGACUCUCAACCUUGAGAGAAUAUUGAACGUGUGUCAAAAUCAAUAGAAGACUUUAACCUUUGGGUGAGACCUUAAAGUGGUCAUAUAUUCUUAUGAAUUGGGUCACUAUUCAUGGAGACUAGUGACAAUAGAUAUUCUCAAUAUAGGUACCAUGAUAUCUCAUAGGAUUGAGAUAGUGUGUCCCUUUGGGUGAUCCAAAGGACAUGUGAUCAUGAAAUUUGUGGCCACAGUAAUUCCUUUAAUGGAACUUGACAUAGGUGAGAUCUAUAACUCAAUGAUUUGGGAGGUAAUUUUGAUAGGUGAUAGUACUACCUUGUUAGAUUACAGACACCAAUUCAUAGGGGGUUUACAUGCAGUGGAUAGUAGGUCACGAACUAAACUACUUAGUGUCUCGUUGUUAUUUAUAUAAGAUACUGGAGUUCUAUUGAUUCUUUGUAGUGAGAUGUUGAAUCAACUUCAAAAUUGGAUUAUGAGGAAGCCAAUACUCCAAUGGGUCCCAAUGAUCUCCACUCUAAGCUCAUAUACCUUGUUAGCAUGAAUUAUGAGGGUUGGAUUAGCUCUACGUUUACUUUUGUGCAUAAGGGCAUUUUGAUAAUUAUGCAAGGUUGCAUAGGGGUAAGUGAACAAAGUCUUUAGAUUGGGCUAAUUGAUUAAUUAGUAUACCAUAUUAUAUUAAUUAAUCAAUUAUGACCCAUUUUAAGGUAGAUUAAGUGACCUAAGCCCAUAUGGGCUCAAGUCACUUAAGCUCAGUUAGGGUUUUUUUAACUUUUGUCUUCUGCCAUCUAGAGAGAAAGAGAAUCAUAACGUCCACCUUUUUUUCCUUCCCAUCGGAAGUGUGCUAAGAACAAGAUUGAGUCAUUAGGCGGAAGAUUGUAGGUUUACGAGACUUCCAACAACUUCAAGGUUGUCUUCAACACUUGGAAUUUAAGGUUUGGGAACAUCCAAACCUAAAGGUUACUACUUUAACCAUAAAAGAUCAUUUUUUUUAAAAAUGGUGUUGUUUCCAUUGCUUAGAUCUAAUAUGCUAACAGUUGCAUUGCGAACGUGAAUCAAGUUGUAGGUAUUGGAGAGUAAGUCUUUAAAUAAAAACAACGCUAGGGUAAAUCUAUGUAACUUGAUUUCGAAUAGUGGAUUUAGAUUAGUACGUCUUAGACCUCAUGGUUUUUUAUCUCCAUGGUUAGUGUGGGGGUUUUCCAUGUAAAAAAUCUUGUGCCUCAUUGUCUAUAUCUUUUAUGUUUGAUAUUAUGUUUGAAUUGCCUAUAAUUAAUUGAACAAAUUAUCUCUAACAUCUCGUAGGGUAAAAGAAUUGGUUAUAACAUAUAAAUUUUUAUUGAAAUUUUUAAAUCACCCAUUAACCACCCCUCCCCAUCCCCAUCCCCUUCCAAGUGUUCUUUAUUGGACUUUCGCUUUUUCAGGAAUCGAGGUCAAAAGAUUUUGUAGGUUAUCUAAAAGGAACAAGGGGUUACCAGUUUUAUAAUCAGAUGUAAAAGGUGUUUAUCAAUACAAAUGUCAUAUUUGUGAAAGAUAACUAUAUGAUAAGUAAUAAGGUUAGGGGUAAUAUCGAUUGAAACAUACUAAUUGACACUCUCAUCAUAGCAUAUGAUACUAUGGGUCCAAUACUAACCAUUCUUAACUAUUCUAGUACAUAAAUGCCUCGUUGUAAUGGGAAGAUUGUGUAACUAAACUGGUUCAUGUAUUUGGAAGAGUUUUUUUUUUUUUUUUAAAAAAAAAAAAAAGACAAUUCCAUAGGAAAAUAAGAUCAAUCUCAUGUAUUUCGAUGAAGCAAUGAGCAAUGUCAAUGCACAUCUUCAACAAGAAGUUAUAGAGGUAGAGUUAGAAUCUAUGCAUUCCAACAAAGUUUGGGAGCUUGUAGAAGUACCUAAAAGGAUCAAAUCCAUAGGGUGCAAGUGAGUAUAGAAGAGGAAGAGUGGAACAAAUAGAAAGGUUGAGACAUAGAAGGCUAGGUUGUAGUGAAGGGUUAUAGUAAAAAACUUGGCUUUGACUAUGAGGAGACCUUACCCAUAGCUAUGCUCCUAUCCAUUAUGAUACAUCUCGAUUAUGAGAUAUGGUAAAUGGAUAUCAAGAUAAUAUUCUUGAAUGCCAAUUUUGACGAGAGCAUCCACAUGAUGUAAUUGGAUGGUUUCAUAAUAAAAGGCUAAUAACAUUUGGUAUGAAAAUUGCAUAAAUCCAUUUAUAGAUUAAAGCAAGUAUCUCGCUCAUGGAAUAGAUGUUUUGAUCAUGUAGUCAAGAUCUUUGAAUUUAAUUAAAAUCGAGGAUGAACAUUGUGUACAAGAAAGAGUAGCGAAACAUGGUGGUCUUCAUGGUCUUAUAUGUUGAUGACAUUCUAUUGACUGUGAAUGAUGUAAAGUUAUUGUUAUUAGUCAAGAUAUGAUUUUCUACUCAAUUCCAAAUGAAAGAUUUGGGAGAAAUGCAAUAUAUUCUUGGGAUUAAGGUCUUAAGGGACCACAAGAAUAGGAAAAUUGUACUAUUUCAAGCUACCUACGUUGACUAGCUUUUGGUUAAGCAUGUGAUUUAGGAUUCUAAGAAGGGUUUCCUAUCCUUCCAACAUGGAGUUCCUCUUUCUUAAGAUUAGGCACAUGAGAAGAAAGAGCGCAUGCAAUUAGUACCUUAUGUAUUAGUAGUGGGUAGCCUCAUUAUGCGAUGUUAUAUACUAGACUGGACAUUUUCUUUGUGGUAGGUAUGGUGAGUAGAUAUUGAUCUAGUUUAGGCUUAGAAAAUUGGAUGGUUGUCAAGAAUAUACUCAAGUAUCUUAGGAAAACUAGAUAUUAUAUGCAUGGGUUCCAAAGUGACGAGUUAGUAUCCAUUAGGUACACAAAUUCAGACUUUCAAACUAAUAAGGAUUCUCAUUAGUCUACCUCUGGUUUUAUAUUUACUUUAGGUGGUGUGACUAUUAGUUAGAGGAGUGUGAAACAAUCUUGCAUUAUUGACUCUACUAUGGAAGUUGAGUACGUUGCAACUUCUAAAGUAGCAAAGGAAGUCGUUUGACUUAUGAAGCUCCUCAUAGGACUUAAGGUAGUAUACUUGGUUUUAUCGCCCAUAACAUUGUUUUAUGACAAUAGUGGAAUAGUGGCAUAGUCUAAAGAACUAAGAAAACAUCAAAAGGGUGAACAUAAUGUGGGAAAGUACCAUUUGAUUCAUGAGAUAGUGUAUUGGAGUGAUAUACUACCUUCUGUAGUGAACUUGAUAAAUCCCUUCACUAAGACUUUGUCAAGCAAAACAUUUGAUGGCCAUAGGAAUAACAUAGGUGUCAAAUGUGUUUCUAGCAUGCUUUGAUGGUGAUAUGCUUUGAGGGCUGGUGGGAGAUUGUUAGGAUAUAACUCUAAAAGCAUGAUAUGAUAUAGCAUUUUAUGGAUUUAUUAUUUAUUUAGUAAAGAUUUUGGUUUUCCUUUCUAUUUAUUUGUUUCAUGAAUUAUACCUUAUUAGCAUUUUGGCCUAGAAUUUUUUAUAUUGUACAUGACUUUAGUGCAUCAAGAGUUGCAUGAAAGAACCAAGUUAUGAUUUCCUUGCAAGUAGAUGAUUAGUUCAUAGUUGGUUCAAAUGGACUUAGGUAAUCCAUUUGAAGUUAUAGUCCAUUACCUCCUUAUUAGAAGGAUAACUGGUCUUGGUCAUCGGGAUAGGUUUCCUAUGGUGAGUAUACUAAUGUGUAUAUAAUCACACAUUAGACAAGACCUACUGUGAGUCAUGACAUUUGGCUAUUUGGUAGUCAUGACAUCACCAAGUUAUUAUACUAUAUGAUUUGUCAACCUUGAGAGAAUACUGAGUUUAUGCUAAAGUUUACAAUGGUUUUGACCUAUGACUAAGACCUUGAGGUGGCCAUAUAUUCUUUAUAAAUUGAGUCACUAUUAAUAGAGGUCAAUAGCAACAAGUCUUCUUAAUAGAGGCACCAUGAUAUCUCAUAGAGAUUGAGAAAAUGUGUCCCCUAGGGUGAUCCUAAGAAAGUGUGUUUAAGUAAUAUAUGGUCAUAGUGGUUCCUUAACUGGAACUUGGCAUUUGCUCUUUUUGAGAUAAAGUAUGUCAAUUGAUCACAUAAUAAGAGAAUUUGAGACUUAAGGAUUAUAUAAAUAAUCUUGAAAGGUUGAUAACAUUCAUUUUUAUUGGAUUACAAACAUUAGUUCAUAAGGAGUCUGCAUACAAUAAAUAGUAGGUCACAGAGUCGAGCACUUGUGUCUUGUUGUAAUAUACAUGGGAUACUAGAUUAUAGUUGACUUUCUAUAGUGAGAUGUUGAGUUAACUUCAAAAUUAGGUUAUGACAGAGCCAAGAUUUUCCUAUGGGUCCCAAUAGUCCCCACUUGAGCUUAUACUUUUUGAUAGUAUGGUUUGUGAGGGUUGUUUGACUCUUUAUUCACUUGUGUGUAUAAGGGUGUUUUGCUAAAUACGUAAGGUUACAUAGGAGCUUGUGAAUGGUCUCUCUAAGCUGGGUUAAUUGACUAAUUUGAGUUUAAUUAGGUUUAUUAAUCAAUUUGGACCCAGGUAAGCUAAUUUAAGUGACCCCAGCUCAAAGAUGGGCUUAAGUCACUUAAGCCCACUAGAAGCUUAUAAAUAUCCUCCUUAAGGGUUAGGGCUUUAGUCUUGCUUCCUAUUUACCUUAGAGAAAGAGAACUCUAAUCACCACCCUUAUGAGAUUUCCACCAUCUUUGUGCUUAGAUUUGAGGAAGAGUCACCACGGUAGAAGAUCAUUUGGUCUAUGAGAUCUACACCAUCUACAAUGUCUUUGAGAAACUCUUCACCUAACAUGAUCUAAUAUGGGAACAUCCAGGUUUAAUGUAUGACAUUAAACACUAGAUCCUAAAAGCUUUUUAUUUCUCUAUUGCUUUUGUUGUUAGAAUCUAGAGGCCUGGGAAGAACAUAAUGCACCCUAAUUGGUCCAGGGACAAGAAUUGAGUAAUCCAAGAUUUCCCUAUAUAACCUAUAUCAUUCUCAAUGAGUAGAUUAUCAUCUUCAUUUAAGAUCUAAAACACCACCAUGUUUUGUUAUGUUUUCUUGUACACAUAAUAUUUAUCCUAGUUUUGAUCAAAAUCAAGAGUCUUGAUUACUUGAUCAAAAUCAAGAGUCUUGAUUACUUGAUCAAAACACUUGUCCUGCGAACAAGAUGUUAGCAUUAUUCCAAAUCAUGUAACUUGAAUACUAGAUGGUUUUGACCCUUUGCUAUGAAAAUGCCUGAUUGCACCAUAUAGAUGUUGUCAUCAAGAUAACCAUGCUCAAAUCCAUCAAAGUACUUUUGUCCAUUCAUCUUGAUUGUGAGAAAUGGUAAAUGGAUAUCAAGAACAUUAGUCUUGGAGCUGACAACCCCAAGACGCUAAAAAAAUGAUCCUCCUUGCCCUAUAUGUGUUAGAUCAGAGGAGGGAAAUCCUCCAGAGCAUCGAUUGUUUCCAAGUUGAGGAAUGGUUUCCUAAAGCUUAAACCAUGUUGUGAAGAAGGGGUGUCAAGGACGUGGAGCUGUGCUCAGGCAAGAGAUUAUGUUGAAGGGGCUUCGAAUGCACCCCGUCGGAACGCUAUGUUGUUACUUAACCGGAAUCGCAUUAAGAAGAACCUUUCUUUGGAGGGAAAUUCAAGCGGGAAGUUGAAGAAAAGCGGGUCAAAUUCUUCGCAGCUCAUGAGUGAAUGAUCAAUUAAGCAGGGAGCAAGACAAAGAAGGCCCCGGUAUCAAGAGAUUAUGAUUCUGGAUCACAUACAGGACAUGAAAACCUUGCAAGGUAGGGGUUGAUUGAUCAUUUUCUUGUACUUAUGUUAUCAAUUCAAAAUCUCAAGUGAGUUGGAGAUUUUAUGGGAUAGGUAGUGUGAGGUCUGCGUUGCUGUAUACACUUGAAUCUUGUGAGAAUUGUGGGUUGAAAUUAAGGUUGGAAUGAGACAAGC